GUCUAUAGCCAUACCACCCUAAAAGUGCCUGAUCUAGUCUGAUCUUGGAAGUUAAGCAGGGUCAGGCAUCAUGAGUACUUCAAUGGGAGAAAAUAAUUCUAUAGUCU
Molecule: ribosomal RNA, 107 nt
Organism: Cebus imitator (Panamanian white-faced capuchin)
Lineage: Eukaryota; Metazoa; Chordata; Mammalia; Primates; Cebidae
Source: Ensembl